AUGCAAGUCGAGCGAGAACCGUAGCAAUACGGGGACAGCGGCGAAAGGGACAGUAAUGUGUAGGUACCUACCCCGAGGUCUGGGAUAGCUGCGGGAAACUGCAGGUAAUACCGGAUAAUGUCUUCGGACCAAAGGUGUGAUUCCACCUUGGGAGGGGCCUGCAUCCUAUUAGCUAGUUGGGGAGGUAACGGCUCACCAAGGCGACGAUGGGUAGCGGGUGUGAGAGCACGACCCGCGUCAUUGGGACUGAGACACUGCCCAGACACCUACGGGUGGCUGCAGUCGAGGAUCUUCGGCAAUGGGCGCAAGCCUGACCGAGCGACGCCGCGUGCGGGAUGAAGGCCUUCGGGUUGUAAACCGCUGUCGUAGAGGAGGAAAUGCAGGGGGGUUCUCCCUUCUGUUUGACCUAUUCUAGGAGGAAGUACGGGCUAAGUUCGUGCCAGCAGCCGCGGUAAGACGAACCGUACAAACGUUACUCGGAAUUACUGGGCUUAAAGGGUGCGUAGGCUGCGCGGAAAGUUGGGUGUGAAAGCCCUCAGCUCAACUGGGGAAUUGCAUUCAAAACUACCGUGCUCGAGGGAGACAGAGGUAAGCGGAACUCAAGGUGGAGCGGUGAAAUGCGUUGAUAUCUUGAGGAACACCGGUGGCGAAGGCGGCUUACUGGGUCUCUUCUGACGCUGAGGCACGAAAGCUAAGGUAGCAAACGGGAUUAGAUACCCCGGUAGUCUUAGCUGUAAACGAUGAGCACUUGUUUG
Molecule: ribosomal RNA, 755 nt
Filed under: uncultured Planctomycetota bacterium
Lineage: Bacteria; Pseudomonadati; Planctomycetota
Description: bacterial SSU rRNA
Rfam family: Bacterial small subunit ribosomal RNA
Source: RNAcentral